RNAcentral lists this long non-coding RNA (780 nucleotides) under Ictidomys tridecemlineatus (thirteen-lined ground squirrel). Its description in RNAcentral is "lncRNA (ENSSTOG00000033322.1)". Lineage: Eukaryota; Metazoa; Chordata; Mammalia; Rodentia; Sciuridae. The record is from RNAcentral.
AGCAACAACAUAUUUCAUUUCUUUUUUCAGGUGGUGGGGAUUUUUUUUUUCCAGUCUGGGGAUUGAACCCAAGGCCUUGUGCAUGGAUAUUUUUGAUCCUUCGGUGUCUGAAUCCAGGGAUGGAUAUGAGGGCCUACUGUGAUUAUCCUUGUACACAUGAGGAAGCUGAGACUUACGUGUUGAGUUUGCUGAAGUACCAGAUUCUGAAUGUGAGCCUUGGCAGAUUCAUCUUGUGCACCACAUUUUGUAAAUACUACAGACUGAUAUCAGGAAAGACCAUCAUGUCCUACAAGUUAGAACUCCAGUGACAUUUCACUCCCAGUGGAGAAUGUGUCUAACUCCAAGUCUGAAGCUUAUCUCAGCAGUCGAUUCACUGAUCUUCCUUAUACCACAUGAUUUUCAGAGCUCUUAGGGCAUCUGAUAGCCUUUUGUACAUUUGUAGCAGGGUGCUUGAUAUAUUGGUUCGUGCUAAAUUGUUAUUUCAUGAAUGAACAAAUAAAUGAACACUGAAGUAAAGGGCUACUGUUGUAGCCACAAUAUCAAAUGAAGUUUUCCUUUAAAAUUCCCUGAGAGUGACUAACAGGAUGAUUUUCCCACAUCUGAAUCACAAUGAGACAUUUUCAAGUUAUCCUGAAACCUGAAAAAGUAGUGCACAUUGUUGGAUAAUUCGAUGCCAAACUAAAACCUGGAGUCAAUUACGAUGAAUUUAAAAACUAUAGGCAAGAAUUAUGUAUAUCAAAGUGCAUAAAUGUAUUCUACUGUCAUGUAUAACUAUUUAGA